UAACAUUCAAUCAACUACAGCUCGCCACAACCGUUUCAGAAUUGAAGAAAAAUAUAUCUCACAUAACAAAUAGAAAAUGUGGGUAUACGUAGACAUUAACCUCAAGCCACACAUAUAAGUAUAUCAAACUAUAUCAGGUUGCAAAACAUUUUUCUGUAUUGCGAACUCUUUAUGCAUAUGAAACUCUCCUUUCUUGAUCAAAUUGCAAA
This 209-nucleotide unclassified non-coding RNA is filed under the name Hevea brasiliensis (rubber tree). The record is from RNAcentral. Lineage: Eukaryota; Viridiplantae; Streptophyta; Magnoliopsida; Malpighiales; Euphorbiaceae.